AGCGAACGCUGGCGGCGUGGUUGAGACAUGCAAGUCGCACGGGUUCAUCCGGCCGUAAGGUUGGGUGGCUAGUGGCGAAAGGGAGAGUACAAAGCAGGCAACGUACCCCGGGCACUGGGAUAGCCCGCCGAAAGGCGGAUUAAUACCAGAGACACCUCAAUUCGCAUGGAUCGUGGUCAAAGGUGGGGACCCCGACUUGUCGGGGCCUGCCGGCUGGGAGCGACCGCCCGAUCAGCCAGUUGGUGAGGUAACGGCUCACCAAGGCGAUGACGCGUAGCCGGCCUUAGCGGGUGUGCGGCCUCACUGGGACUGAGACACUGCCCAGAGCCCUACGGGGUGCAGCAGUCUCGAAUCAUCCGCAAUGCGCGCAAGCGUGACGGUGCGACGCCGCGUGCGGGAGGAAGCCCUUCGGGGUGUAAACCGCUUUCGGAGGUAUGAAGUGCCGCCGCUGAAUAGGCGGUCGGCAUUGACGUCAACUCUGGAAUAAGCCCCGGCUAACUUCGUGCCAGCAGCCGCGGUAAGACGAAGGGGGCGAGCGUUGCUCGGAAUCACUGGGCUUAAAGCGGGCGUAGGCGGUCCGGUAAGUCGGAUGUGAAAGCCCUCGGCUCAACCGAGGAACGGCACCCGAAACUACCGGACUUGAGGUGCUCAGGGGCGAGUGGAACUCUCGGUGGAGCGGUGAAAUGCGUAGAGAUCGAGAGGAACGCCGAUGGCGAAGGCAACUCGCUGGGAGUAUCCUGACGCUCAGGCCCGAAAGCUAGGGGAGCGAACGGGAUUAGAUACCCCGGUAGUCCUAGCCCUAAACGAUGCGCACUAGGUGGGGGAGAUCCUGACGGUCAUCCCCGCCGCGGGGAAACCAUUAAGUGCGCCGCCUGGGGAGACGGUCGCAAGGCU
RNAcentral lists this ribosomal RNA (894 nucleotides) under uncultured Planctomycetota bacterium. RNAcentral describes it as "bacterial SSU rRNA". It matches the Rfam family "Bacterial small subunit ribosomal RNA", at positions 28 to 895 of the family's 1533-position model. Lineage: Bacteria; Pseudomonadati; Planctomycetota. The record is from RNAcentral.